UCCAGACUCCUACGGGAGGCAGCAGUGGGGAAUAUUGGGCAAUGGGCGCAAGCCUGACCCAGCAACGCCGCGUGAAGGAAGAAGGCUUUCGGGUUGUAAACUUCUUUUGACAGGGAAGAGCAGAAGACGGUACCUGUCGAAUAAGCCACGGCUAACUACGUGCCAGCAGCCGCGGUAAUACGUAGGUGGCAAGCGUUGUCCGGAUUUACUGGGUGUAAAGAGCGUGUAGCCGGGCUGACAAGUCAGAUGUGAAAUCCGGGGGCUCAACCCCCGAACUGCAUUUGAAACUGUUGGUCUUGAGUGUCGGAGAGGUAAUCGGAAUUCCUUGUGUAGCGGUGAAAUGCGUAGAUAUAAGGAAGAAUACCAGUGGCGAAGGCGGAUUACUGGACGAUAACUGACGGUGAGGCGCGAAAGCGUGGGGAGCAAACAGGAUUAGAUACCCCAGUAC
This 448-nucleotide ribosomal RNA is filed under the name uncultured bacterium. RNAcentral's name for it is "partial 16S ribosomal RNA". It matches the Rfam family "Bacterial small subunit ribosomal RNA", at positions 330 to 793 of the family's 1533-position model. The record is from RNAcentral.